Molecule: long non-coding RNA, 237 nt
Organism: Gopherus evgoodei (Goodes thornscrub tortoise)
Lineage: Eukaryota; Metazoa; Chordata; Testudines; Testudinidae
Exons: 2
Source: RefSeq, a predicted model, not a curated record
AGUCAGCAGUGCAGUGCUAUUGCAAAAAAAGUAACCUUUAACAUUUUAACAGCAAUGUUUGACAAAUUCCAUAUCAGAUUCCUACGUGUAACCUAUAAAGAGGGGCUGCUUUUAUGUAUGUGCAUUCAGAUGUGUUGGAGAUGGGCGGUUCCUAAGUAUGGGUCUUUGCAUUUUUUUUAACUUUUGUGUACCUUUUUAAGUUCUAUGAUGUAAUGAUUUAAAUGCAUGAUUUAAUGC